RNAcentral lists this long non-coding RNA (521 nucleotides) under Bos taurus (domestic cattle). Its description in RNAcentral is "long non-coding RNA NONBTAT000474". The record is from RNAcentral. Lineage: Eukaryota; Metazoa; Chordata; Mammalia; Artiodactyla; Bovidae.
CCACCAACUCUUGCCAUUCAUAUUAUUCUGGCUAUCACAGAUGGAUUAAUAGCAUCAUCUUAUAUUUAUCUACAUGAAAAUUAGGGGGAAAAAAGACAUACAAACUGUAUGAAAAUGAUACCUUAAAGCUCAUAUUUACAGUAUAGUACUCUGUAAACACACAAGCCUAUUAGCUAAAGUCAGCUCUUGUCCUAUCGCCAUCCAGCUGUACAGUCUUGGGCAAAUCAUUUGUUUCCUCAUUUUUAAAUUACCUAUCACCUGACUCUUCUAACUCAUAGACUCAAUUGGAUGCAUGCAAAAAUACCUCUAAAAAUACCAUGCAGUUUAAGUGUGAAAUAAGUUACUAUAAAGUGCUUUAUUUAUGACUAGCCUUCCUCUUUUUAGAGUAACACCAUUCAUAGUUCAGUAAAAGUCAUUUGUUUGCAAAGUGACUCUUUUAAAAGGAAGUCUUCGGCACUAGUCUUACCAACAGUCUGGCAGGAUCUGAAGCCAGUGGCUUAACCUUUAGGAACAGAAUAUGC